Molecule: ribosomal RNA, 439 nt
Filed under: uncultured bacterium
Lineage: Bacteria
Description: partial 16S ribosomal RNA
Rfam family: Bacterial small subunit ribosomal RNA
Source: RNAcentral
CUACGGGCCGCUCCAGUGGGGAAUAUUGCACAAUGGAGGAAACUCUGAUGCAGCAACGCCGCGUGGAGGAUGACACUUUUCGGAGCGUAAACUCCUUUUAUAUAGGAAGAAGAUGACGGUACUAUAUGAAUAAGCGCCGGCCAACUCCGUGCCAGCAGCCGCGGUAAUACGGAGGGCGCAAGCGUUACUCGGAAUCACUGGGCGUAAGGAGCGUGUAGGCGGAUUAAAAAGUCAGAAGUGAAAUCCUAUAGCUUAACUAUAGAACUGCUUCUGAAACUCUUAAUCUAGAAUAUGGGAGAGGUAGAUGGAAUUUCUGGUGUAGGGGUAAAAUCCGUAGAGAUCAGAAGGAAUACCGAUUGCGAAGGCGAUCUACUAGAACAAUAUUGACGCUGAGACGCGAAAGCGUGGGGAGCAAACAGGAUUAGAUACCCCCGUAGUC